RNAcentral lists this small nuclear RNA (116 nucleotides) under Catenaria anguillulae PL171. Its description in RNAcentral is "U5 spliceosomal RNA". It matches the Rfam family "U5 spliceosomal RNA". Rfam says of the family: U5 RNA is a component of both types of known spliceosome. Lineage: Eukaryota; Fungi; Blastocladiomycota; Blastocladiomycetes; Blastocladiales; Catenariaceae. The record is from Rfam by way of RNAcentral.
AGCCACGAGUUUAGCUCAGACCGAAUUCGCUUUUCGCCUUUUACUAAGAGCUACCGUGAGAUAAACUCGCUAUAGUGGCUUACACGAAUUUUUGAAAAAUCCAACACUUUGGGUAG